UUUAUACUUAAAUCUGCCAUGUUCACAUUGUUUAAGUUUGUAGUUAUGUUACCUUGAUUUCAGCUAAGGUGUCAUCUUAAAAACUGUUUUGUUUGUAUUGUAAUAUUUCAAUGAUGGAAAAUGAAUAUGUUGUGGUGUGCAGAUUUCACCAAUGCGGCAAAUUAGGAAAACACUCAAAUGCUUUUCCAAACAUUUUUAAUGAACUGCCAACACGAGAAUGCUCAACAGGAAGUACUUAAAGUUUAAUGGCUUUGUAAAAACACUGAGACAAAGUCUAAGUUCAUUGUGUUCAUGGUGUUUUGAAACUGAAACACAUUUUUUCCUCAGAAAUUUGAACACAUUUCUAAUGUGUGCAUUUUCAGAAUGUGCUUGUUCUGUUUUUAGUCAAGUAAGACAGAAAACAAUCUGAAGUUGUCUUCAUAUUUUUAAGUUAUUAUGCCAUGAUUUUACCAGUCUGGCCCGCGUGGGAAUAGAUUUUACUCCAUGCGGCCCCUGAGCUAAAAUGAGUUUGACACCCCUGUGCUGUACUGUAGCUCAAGGUGUUCAUCUUACAGAUCCAGCAGACAAGCAAAAAGGUAAAUAGUCAAAAGUAAUGACGGGUCAAACACUGAAGCAGAUGCAUUAUGAAACACUAGGAGUGAUACUGUGACCUUCAAAGCCUUAAUGUGUGUGUCAGGUUUAAGACUAGCAGCAUGUGGCGGAUACAACUGCUGUCCUUUUGAAUGUGAAGAAUUCGGAGGAGUAUCGUGUCGGCAUCAGGAUUUGUUGCCGUCUUGGAUCUUAAUAAGACUGUGCCUGUGAAGCCCAGAAAUAGAUGACCAAGUCCAUGCAUGCACUCAUUGCCCACUCGGAUGACGACUCAAGUGGGACUUUAACUAUCAUGGCUCCACUUCCAGGCCUGCUUCUGGACCUCCAUUGCAGCUCCACGCACGCUAGCACCACCACGUCUUCAUGCCCACACUGCAUGUUCCUGCAGGCUGCCUCUUUCUCAUUACUCCUUAACUCCCCGUGGCGCAAAGAGCACAUAUUGCUGAUUGACCAGAUCGCUGACUCAUGAGGCAAAGCUGCCUGCUGGAAUAAGUCCAGUUGCUACUGAGGAGGCCUUGAACGCACCAUCAUGACGUCAUGAC
Molecule: long non-coding RNA, 1130 nt
Organism: Entelurus aequoreus (snake pipefish)
Lineage: Eukaryota; Metazoa; Chordata; Actinopteri; Syngnathiformes; Syngnathidae
Exons: 3
Source: RefSeq, a predicted model, not a curated record